UCGCGGCCUAUCAGCUUGUUGGUGAGGUAACGGCUCACCAAGGCAUCGACGGGUAGCUGGUCUGAGAGGACGAUCAGCCACACUGGAACUGAGACACGGUCCAGACUCCUACGGGAGGCAGCAGUAGGGAAUCUUGCGCAAUGGGCGAAAGCCUGACGCAGCAAUGCCGCGUGCGGGACGAAGGCCCUAGGGUCGUAAACCGCUUUCAGUAGGGACGAAAAUGACGGUACCUGCAGAAGAAGCUCCGGCCAACUACGUGCCAGCAGCCGCGGUGAUACGUAGGGAGCAAGCGUUGUCCGGAAUUACUGGGCGUAAAGGGCUCGUAGGUGGUUGAGUAAGUCAGAUGUGAAAUCUCAGGGCCCAACCCUGAGCGUGCAUUUGAUACUGCUCUGACUAGAGUCCGGUAGGGGAGUGCGGAAUUCCUGGUGUAGCGGUGAAAUGCGCAGAUAUCAGGAGGAACACCGACAGCGAAGGCAGCACUCUGGGCCGGUACUGACACUGAGGAGCGAAAGCAUGGGUAGCAAACAGGAUUAGAUACCCUGGUAGUCCAUGCCGUAAACGUUGGGCACUAGGUGUGGGGAGAACUCAACUCUCUCCGCGCCGUAGCUAACGCAUUAAGUGCCCCGCCUGGGGAGUACGG
Molecule: ribosomal RNA, 640 nt
Filed under: uncultured Actinomycetes bacterium
Lineage: Bacteria; Bacillati; Actinomycetota; Actinomycetes
Description: bacterial SSU rRNA
Rfam family: Bacterial small subunit ribosomal RNA
Source: RNAcentral